UCAUUGUCUUGCACUAGCUGAUGCGAACUUGUGCUUUCAAAUUUCAUCUCACCUAGUUUUCUGUCAUCCUUGACAGAACUUCCCUUCCCUUGGCACCCAUUCUGCAACUCUAAUGGUCCACUGGUUAUCUACCCUAUGCAUUACAUGGCCUGCCCAGCUUCAUUUUUUCCUCUUAAUGUCUACUAGAAUAUCGACUAUCCACACUGCUCUCUUCCUGUCUCAUUGUCAUUUAUCAUUGCAUUGCUCUUUGUACGGCCCUUAACAUGUUCUCGAGAUUCUUCGUUAACCUCCAGGCUUAUGUGCUAUACUGCAUGCUUAGAAGAACAACGUGUCUACCAAGUUGACAUUUUCAAAUUCCCUGAUUUUUUCAGGUUUCACAGAACUUUGUUUUAUGUCAAGAUGGGCUGACACCAUGUCACCUGAUGCUGUCACUCUCUGGAUGACCAGCAAAGCUGCGUACGUGGGCCCCUUAAUGGUGAACUGCACCUCUACCGCGGGUCGGCCUGGUAUUGCACUACCUAUGGGAUUGGCCCAUGUGUGGGGGAGUGCUUAAAGCCUGCUUCAUCUCCGCCGCAGGUUUGACUGGCAUUUCACGACCUUCGGGAUCAGCCCACAUAUGGGGAGUGCUUAAUGCUUGCUUCACUUCUGCCUCGGGUUGGCCUGGUAUUGCACUUUCUUCGGGAUCGGCCCACCGUAUGAAAAAUUGUUGGUCUAUGCGCAAAUGCGAUCUGCCAGAUCCUCACCAUAGACAGCUUCACUGUAAAAAAAGUGGUCUAGCUCACGGCAAAUAGAGUCAAACAUUUUAAAAUGCGAAUAAAAAGAGAUGCAUACAAAAGCAAAUAGCUAUUUGUAUCAACUGAUAGCAAGCUCAUUGGUAUCAUGCCCGAACUUUGUCACAUAUGAGAUUCUCCAAGCAACUGGAAAGUCAACCUCAACUGUCUUGACAUACUCUCAGCCUGCCCAUAAUGCCUCAGUUUUGCAUUUCAUUGCUUUAAGAGAUUUAUUUUGGUUUGGAUGUGGGUAACCUGCAUCUUAGCGUCAGCCAACACUUUGCUUUUUGAGCGCAAGCUCCUUCAAAGAGGCGGCGGCACAGUUCCUUUCCUGAUCAUUCCUCGAUGCAAUGGUCCUUCCUAUUCUUGUCCUUGUUACGCUGCGUGUUCGCCCCAUGGAUGAAGCAUCCUUUUGGUCAGUUGUACAGUCCGAUUUUUCAGACUCCCUAAGGGCCGCUACAA
Molecule: long non-coding RNA, 1232 nt
Filed under: Dermacentor andersoni
Lineage: Eukaryota; Metazoa; Arthropoda; Arachnida; Ixodida; Ixodidae
Description: uncharacterized LOC126533717
Source: RNAcentral